GCCAGCGUAGCUCAGAGGUAGAGCACUUCCUUGGUAAGGAAGGGGUCGGGAGUUCAAUUCUCCCCGCCGGCUC
This 73-nucleotide transfer RNA is filed under the name Bacteroidia bacterium. RNAcentral's name for it is "tRNA-Thr". It matches the Rfam family "tRNA". Rfam says of the family: Transfer RNA (tRNA) molecules are approximately 80 nucleotides in length. Their secondary structure includes four short double-helical elements and three loops (D, anti-codon, and T loops). The record is from RNAcentral. Lineage: Bacteria; Pseudomonadati; Bacteroidota; Bacteroidia.